This is a long non-coding RNA of Pipistrellus kuhlii (Kuhl's pipistrelle), 1358 nucleotides long. RefSeq lists it as uncharacterized. The transcript is spliced from 2 exons. The record is from RefSeq and is a predicted model, not a curated record. NCBI's taxonomy places the organism in Eukaryota, Metazoa, Chordata, Mammalia, Chiroptera, Vespertilionidae.
CUAUUUUCAAAUUGCUUUUUAAAAUUUUGUCCUUUUUUAAUCGAAUUUUUUGGAGUGACCCUAUUAACAAAAUUAUACAGGUUUCAGGUGCAAGAAUUUUAAUUGGACUCUCUACCCAGAAUUCCACUUACAUAAAAAACAAAAACUCACCCUUGUGUAAUUGAAGAUUCUAGGAACAUUGAUUUUCAAUUUGAAUGGAAAAAAUGGUAAUUUGGAGUAUAUUGCCAACAGGUUAGCUAACUUAAUAUGGCUGCCCAAAAUAACUUAAAACGGGAGAGAAAUUGGUUUUGAAUGCAUCGGGUAUAUUUUUUCUGAGACCUAUUACAAUAUGUUUGAAUGUCAAGUAUUAGUGUAGGACUAUUAACCUCUACAUUUGGGGAUGCAUGUAACACUUUUUACAUAAUAAAUUGGAAGGCAUAGGCUUUGUUCGUAGGUUCUGUUAACUUUUGGGAUGAAAGCAUGAGUAGAUUUGCCUUUAAGUCUCUGAAAUCUUAUAAUGUGAGAAAAUCCUAUUUCACAUCAUGUAUUUAGUUGGAUUCAAAGUCUUUAAAGUGUUUUUAAAGCAUUAAAUCUCAGUGUCUUAAAUGUCUUCAAUGUAUGGGGAAUCAUACUCUUUUUAACGCAAUAAUUCGGGAAUCUUCCCCCUCCCUCUCAUUUUUAUUUUCACUACUUCAGAAAUAGCCUCAAACCUCCUCCCUCCCUUUGGAAGGUUUGGGAUCCUGCAAAAAGGCUGCUUGUUAACAAAAUGGGUUUAACUUUUCUCUAAUAGGGAAAGAGAUGAAGUGAGUGGGUUUAGAAAAUUCUAAAUAUUUGUGACAUAUUGUAAAGUUUAUUUGAUGAGUAAUUGUGUGUGUUUUUUUCUAACAGGAAAAUUGCAAAUAGGAAUAAUCAAAUUUUUUGAGUGCCUACUAUGUGCCAAAAUUAUAUUGGUAUUCUCUGGUAUAGGACCUAUUAUUGGCUGUAUUUUACAAAUAGGAAAACUGAGGUUCAGAGAGGCUUCUUAACAGCUUAGUUAAGAAGCAAGGUCAGUGUUCAAACUGAGUUUGAUUGAGAUAUCUAGUCUGAGGCUUGAAACUAGUAUCAAUUUUAUUAUCAUUAAUUGUUCACCAUCUUAAAUUAUCAUAUUGUCUACUUGCAUUUGCUGCUUUAUACUUAGAUUCAGACUUAUCUCAAAGAAAAUUAAAAAAUUUAGCCUAAAGAUUUUAAAAUUAUAGUUUAUCUCCAAGCCACACAUGGAAGUUUUUGUAUUGACUUCUAGUUAGGGUUAUCUGUUAUUGUGUGCUUUCUUCAUUCUCCAUUUAAGAUAAUUGAGAGGUUUCUUUUUAUUGUGAUGAACAAAAUAGAAAGUAUAUAUGAUU